This 815-nucleotide ribosomal RNA is filed under the name uncultured Pseudomonadota bacterium. RNAcentral describes it as "bacterial SSU rRNA". It matches the Rfam family "Bacterial small subunit ribosomal RNA", at positions 70 to 859 of the family's 1533-position model. The record is from RNAcentral. Lineage: Bacteria; Pseudomonadati; Pseudomonadota.
AAAGUUUCCUUCGGGAAGCGAGUAGAGCGGCGAACGGGUGAGUACAACGUAGGUAACCUACCCCCGAGACUGGGAUAACCUGUCGAAAGACGGGCUAAUACCGGAUAAGACCACGAGGGCUGCGGCCCUUGGGGCAAAAGGUGGCCUCUGCUUGCAAGCUACUACUCGAGGAGGGGCCUGCGCGCCAUUAGCUAGUUGGUGAGGUAACGGCUCACCAAGGCGAAGAUGGCUAGCUGGUCUGAGAGGAUGGCCAGCCACACUGGGACUGAGACACGGCCCAGACUCCUACGGGAGGCAGCAGUGGGGAAUCUUGCGCAAUGGGCGAAAGCCUGACGCAGCGACGCCGCGUGGGUGAUGAAGGCCUUCGGGUCGUAAAGCCCUGUCGGGAGGGAAGAAAUCUCAUCGGCCUAAUAUGCCGAUGACUUGACGGUACCUCUUAAGGAAGCACCGGCUAACUCCGUGCCAGCAGCCGCGGUAAUACGGAGGGUGCAAGCGUUGUUCGGAAUCACUGGGCGUAAAGCGCGUGUAGGCGGCUAUCUAAGUCUGGUGUGAAAGCCCUGGGCUCAACCCAGGAAGUGCACUGGAUACUGGAUAGCUGGAGUACCGGAGAGGAGGGUGGAAUUCCUGGUGUAGCGGUGAAAUGCGUAGAUAUCAGGAGGAACACCGGUGGCGAAGGCGUCCCUCUGGCCGGAUACUGACGCUGGGACGCGAAAGCGUGGGGAGCAAACAGGAUUAGAUACCCUGGUAGUCCACGCCAUAAACGAUGGGUACUAGGUGUUCGGGGUAUUGACCCCCUGAGUGCCGCAGCUAACGCA